ACGUACACUCCUGCGGGAGGCAGCAGUGGGGAAUAUUGGACAAUGGGCGCAAGCCUGAUCCAGCCAUGCCGCGUGAGUGAUGAAGGCCCUAGGGUUGUAAAGCUCUUUCACCGGUGAAGGUAAUGACGGUAACCGGAGAAGAAGCCCCGGCUAACUUCGUGCCAGCAGCCGCGGUAAUACGAAGGGGGCUAGCGUUGUUCGGAUUUACUGGGCGUAAAGCGCACGUAGGCGGACUAUUAAGUCAGGGGUGAAAUCCCGGGGCUCAACCCCGGAACUGCCUUUGAUACUGGUAGUCUUGAGUUCGAGAGAGGUGAGUGGAAUUCCGAGUGUAGAGGUGAAAUUCGUAGAUAUUCGGAGGAACACCAGUGGCGAAGGCGGCUCACUGGCUCGAUACUGACGCUGAGGUGCGAAAGCGUGGGGAGCAAACAGGAUUAGAAACCCGGGUAGUCCCAUGA
Molecule: ribosomal RNA, 455 nt
Filed under: uncultured organism
Description: partial 16S ribosomal RNA
Rfam family: Bacterial small subunit ribosomal RNA
Source: RNAcentral